AGAAAGAGAAGAUUAGUUUGUGUUCUCUCUUCAAAGUGAAGCAGGGGGGCAGACUGAAACAGGGGCAGGUGAGGAAGGGUUUUCUUGGAGAAGAAAGGGAAACCCAAACGGUAUGUCCGCUCCUCUAACCUUUUUCUUUCUUUUGGGAAUUCUUGAACUUGGUUCGUAAAAUUAAUCUGGGAUUUUUGCUUUCUUUUUGGGUACGGUAUAACCUUUUUCAGUUGAUUAGCCAUUAUGUGAUUUGAAUAGAUUCUGUUGUCUAAUCUUGAUUUGGGAGUCCUUCUUAUUUGUGAUUAUGACUUAAAUAUGAUUGAAAUGGUUUUGAACUCAGAGAAAUAUUUCCGGUGAGCCAGAAAUUAUGUUUCUUGGUCUGGGAAAUCUUCUGGUUCAAGAUGAUCCAAAAUCUGGAAUCAUCAUCAUCAAAUCAUACAUGGUUUAGUUUUUUAAAUUGACAGAUUAUUCACCCGAUGAAGGUUUUCUUUCUAAAGUAUGUAUACUACUUUAUUUAGUUUAAUAUGAUUUAUGUAGCAAUGCUUUUUUCAGAAUGCUUCUCUUGCAAAGAAAUUUAUCACACUAUCUUCUUGGUAUUUAUUUCAAUGCUUUUACUAUCCAUUGUAGAAAGUUCCAGAAACUCUAUUCAUAUUGUAGUGAUAACUUGUUGUACCAUCUAGAUUGAGGAACUUCGGAGUUCCCUCUCAUAGGAGUCUAGAGAUGGUAAUUCCUGAAGUCUUCUUAUGCGAGCUUUAUGUUUUAUGAGUACAAGCUUCUUAAAAAAAAA
Carica papaya (papaya) is the source of this 778-nucleotide non-coding RNA. NCBI's taxonomy places the organism in Eukaryota, Viridiplantae, Streptophyta, Magnoliopsida, Brassicales, Caricaceae. The record is from RefSeq and is a predicted model, not a curated record.